This 19-nucleotide small nuclear RNA is filed under the name Arabidopsis thaliana (thale cress). RNAcentral's name for it is "snRNA_15543". Lineage: Eukaryota; Viridiplantae; Streptophyta; Magnoliopsida; Brassicales; Brassicaceae. The record is from RNAcentral.
CUGUCGGGACCCGAAAGAU